ACGGUUUGACAUACAGACCACAAAGCAGUUGAGUAAAGCAGUUCCCUUCAAGGUUAUCCAUUGGUACCCCUCGUAGCGACAUUUCCUUUACGCUUUAAAUUCUGUAAAGCAUGCCAUAUCGCCGUAAGGCUCAAUUAAUUUUUAAAGGUAAUUUCUAUGUCCGGUAAAAUGACUGGUAUCGUAAAAUGGUUCAACGCUGACAAAGGCUUCGGCUUCAUCACUCCUGACGAUGGUUCUAAAGACGUGUUCGUACACUUCUCUGCUAUCCAGAACGAUGGCUACAAAUCCCUGGACGAAGGUCAGAAAGUUUCCUUCACCAUCGAAAACGGCGCUAAAGGCCCGGCAGCUGGCAACGUAACUUCUCUGUAAGUUCACGCCGCUAAAAAUUCGAAAUCCCUGCCUUACGGCGGGGAUUUUUU
Molecule: small RNA, 419 nt
Filed under: Kluyvera ascorbata
Lineage: Bacteria; Pseudomonadati; Pseudomonadota; Gammaproteobacteria; Enterobacterales; Enterobacteriaceae
Description: cspA thermoregulator
Rfam family: cspA thermoregulator
Source: RNAcentral